CAGUCGCCGCGGUAAUACGUAGGGUGCAAGCGUUAAUCGGAAUUACUGGGCGUAAAGCGUGCGCAGGCGGUUAUAUAAGACAGAUGUGAAAUCCCCGGGCUCAACCUGGGAACUGCAUUUGUGACUGUAUAGCUAGAGUACGGCAGAGGGGGAUGGAAUUCCGCGUGUAGCAGUGAAAUGCGUAGAUAUGCGGAGGAACACCGAUGGCGAAGGCAAUCCCCUGGGCCUGUACUGACGCUCAUGCACGAAAGCGUGGGGAGCAAACAGGAUUAGAUACCCGCGUAGUCCCUGUCUCUUAUCC
RNAcentral lists this ribosomal RNA (301 nucleotides) under uncultured bacterium. RNAcentral's name for it is "partial 16S ribosomal RNA". It matches the Rfam family "Bacterial small subunit ribosomal RNA", at positions 509 to 809 of the family's 1533-position model. The record is from RNAcentral.